AAUCUUUCCACCUGCCUCAUUUCAUCCUAUAAUUCGUUUGUCGAUGCAAGUCGACUAUAGCGAUAAACGUAUUAUGGAAUAAGCAGAGCGGACCCGGGGGCGGUACCCGGCGCCUCCACCAUAUUAAACAAGCUUUGAAGAUAUAAAUUUAUUACUUGUCAUAUCAAGAUGAAUAUUUAUCUCAUAGCUCUAUUUGGGGGCGAAAUAGGAUCGACGCAUGUAGUAAAGAUUGUAUUUUCGCUCGGUAUGAUAUCCGCCGUUAUCGGGUCAAUGUAGUAGUUGCAAAUGACAACACUGCUCCGGUUGCAAUGGCUGCGUAAUGCAGUUUGAGUAACCAACUUUUAAGUCCUGUCGGAUUGAGCUCUGGCAGGCGGGGUUCGAGGGUGCACCUGGCAACAGAAGCCCCUCACU
This 411-nucleotide transfer-messenger RNA is filed under the name Alphaproteobacteria bacterium. It matches the Rfam family "Alphaproteobacteria transfer-messenger RNA". From Rfam's summary of the family: Bacterial tmRNA, also known as 10Sa RNA or SsrA, is named for its dual tRNA and mRNA-like properties. Its role is to liberate the mRNA from a stalled ribosome. The record is from RNAcentral. Lineage: Bacteria; Pseudomonadati; Pseudomonadota; Alphaproteobacteria.